This 29-nucleotide non-coding RNA is filed under the name Mus musculus (house mouse). Lineage: Eukaryota; Metazoa; Chordata; Mammalia; Rodentia; Muridae. The record is from RNAcentral.
UGUGUGGAUUCAGGAAGCCCGGGGUUCAU